Gorilla gorilla gorilla (western lowland gorilla) is the source of this 107-nucleotide small nuclear RNA. NCBI's taxonomy places the organism in Eukaryota, Metazoa, Chordata, Mammalia, Primates, Hominidae. The record is from Ensembl.
GUGCUCACUACAGCAGCACAUAUACUAAAAUUGGAACAAUACAGAGAAGGUUAGCAUGGCCCCUGAACAAGGAUGACAUGCAAAUUCAUGAAGUGUUCCAUAUUUUU